Molecule: ribosomal RNA, 180 nt
Filed under: uncultured methanogenic archaeon
Lineage: Archaea; Methanobacteriati; Methanobacteriota
Description: partial 16S ribosomal RNA
Rfam family: Archaeal small subunit ribosomal RNA
Source: RNAcentral
UACUGGGCUUAAGCGUUCGUAGCUGGGUCGUUAAGUCUCUGGGGAAAUCUUUUGGCUCAACCGAGAGGCGUCUCAGGGAUACUGGCGACCUUGGAACCGGGAGAGGUAAGAGGUACUUCGGGGGUAGGAGUGAAAUCUUGUAAUCCCCGAGGGACGACCGAUGGCGAAGGCAUCUUACCA